This 376-nucleotide ribosomal RNA is filed under the name uncultured bacterium. RNAcentral describes it as "bacterial SSU rRNA". It matches the Rfam family "Bacterial small subunit ribosomal RNA", at positions 524 to 896 of the family's 1533-position model. The record is from RNAcentral.
UACGUAGGGUGCGAGCGUUGUCCGGAAUUACUGGGCGUAAAGAGCUCGUAGGUGGUCUGUCGCGUCAUUUGUGAAAGCCCGGGGCUUAACUCCGGGUUGGCAGGUGAUACGGGCAUGACUGGAGUACUGUAGGGGAGACUGGAAUUCCUGGUGUAGCGGUGAAAUGCGCAGAUAUCAGGAGGAACACCGGUGGCGAAGGCGGGUCUCUGGGCAGUAACUGACGCUGAGGAGCGAAAGCAUGGGUAGCGAACAGGAUUAGAUACCCUGGUAGUCCAUGCCGUAAACGGUGGGCGCUAGGUGUGGGUUUCCUUCCACGGGAUCCGUGCCGUAGCUAACGCAUUAAGCGCCCCGCCUGGGGAGUACGGCCGCAAGGCUA